UUUUAAGUUUAAUACAUUAUAUAAGUGUGUAAAUAGGCCCUCAAUAAAGAUGAAAAACUACGUUCUUUGGAUCAAUGAGAGGAAAACUGAGAGAAGAAAGUGGAUUUGCCAAACUAAACUUCAACAAAGAUCCCCAGUGAAUAAGAAGCUGUCAGAAUAUUUAAGACAUAUGGUGCAUAGGCCUCCCACCAAAGAAGUGACAGCAGGAAUGGAGAGAAAGAAGGACAUCAGAGGUAUUUAAAAGAAACAAUCGUCAGGACAUGGUGACUGGAUGAAGAAAUGACAAGACCCAGAAACAAUUACAAUGUCCAGCCAGAAAGGUCCGGUGGCACUUUGGUACAAUUGAAGACACUAGGAAAUGUAGAUGCGUAGGUAGAUUCCC
This 382-nucleotide long non-coding RNA is filed under the name Homo sapiens (human). RNAcentral's name for it is "HSALNT0199886". Lineage: Eukaryota; Metazoa; Chordata; Mammalia; Primates; Hominidae. The record is from RNAcentral.